GCGCCCAAUGUCUUCUGUUCAUUUCCAGAUAUACACAGUAAGAAAAACAAACUAAUUACAAUCCGAAAUAUCACAGGAUAGAUUGUGUAAUUAAACAUUUCUCUCUGAUAAGAGAUCAGAUCAUACAAUGUGUUUAGAUUCUCAUCAGUGAAUAUUUUCUGCCGACAAACCAAAAUAUAUCUCGUGAAUUAACAGUACAGCUCCCUCUUCCUCAUCA
This 217-nucleotide unclassified non-coding RNA is filed under the name Hevea brasiliensis (rubber tree). Lineage: Eukaryota; Viridiplantae; Streptophyta; Magnoliopsida; Malpighiales; Euphorbiaceae. The record is from RNAcentral.